CUCCGCCCUCCCCCAACCUCACCUCACCUGCUAUUGGUUGGGACAGAUGGUGAGGUCACACACAGUCCUGAGAGGGAACCUGGAGCAGUGAAGCUGCUUGCAACAUCUGUGGUUCCCAACUGAGUCUCAGCCGUGAGUGAGUUAACUGCUGCACAAGAGAAGACAGGUUGCCGUUGGCAUUUUGAGAAAACCCUGGACAUUUUGCCCAAUUUAAAAAAUCCACCCGGACAGAAAUUUCACCAUUAAAAAAGAGGACAUUUCCAGGAAAAGGAGGAUGUAUGGCAACCCUUGCUAUAAGGACGGUUUGUGCCUCUUAUGCGGCAGAUCCAGGUAUUGGGUGAAAGGUCUCUCUAGUCCAACUUUCUGCUUCCCAUGUUGACCAGUCAGAUUGCUAGUGCUCAGGUCAGAAGUCCAGAAGCAAGACAUGAGUGCAAUAGCUGUCUCCCAUAGUUGUCCCCCAGUGAGUGGUAUUCAGAGUCAUGCUACCUCUGAUCCUGAAUGCAACCAGCCAGUGUGGCUAGUAGCCAUUCAUAGGCUUCUCCUUCAUGAAUUUGUCUAAUCCCCUUUUAAAGCCGUCCAACGAAUGCAGUUGUAACAAGGAAGUGACCCAUGUAGUUUCAUCAGGCUGCUUUUAUUCAACAGAUUCCCUUCCAUUUGUUUCAGAUCCACUCUAAAUACACCUUCCCUCUCCCCAUGCUAUAUUUCUGCCAAGCUGACAUUCUGAAUGCUAGAGGAGAAGGCACAGCUUCUCACACGCACAGUAAAUAAGGCUGAGAUUACCGGUAGUGUGGAAUGGGACUGACUAUUGCAAUAUUUAAUCUGCUGGGUGGGCAUAUCAUUAAAAUGGAUAUCCAGGGCUUUAAUCAUGAUGCCAAGCUGCCAUCUGCCUCCUCCAUGCUCCCUCUUGGCUUAGGCCGGGGCUCAAUAUACGAGGGGACAGCUUGCAAGAGCACCGUCGUCAUAAUUCAUCUUCUGAGCACGAUGGCACAAGCUGUUUUGGCUUGAUGAAUCCCUGCCAUAUAAACAUGCGUUCCCCAUUAAAGCUGCUCAAGCAGGCAAUUAGACCUUGGAUGAGGUUAGGGGCAGAGGACCAAGCUGCCACUUGUUCUUCGGUGCUGGACGAAUGGGGUGCUGCAUCCCCUAAGAAGCUUUCAGAAGCACCUUAGAUAAUUUAAUCAAACAUGGUGUUCACUAGUGAAAUGAUGUGAGAGGUGAAUGUUUCCACCCAGAGCUUGGCUUGCUUUUCUUUCACUGUACAAGGCACAAAUAUGGAAGGCAUGCAGGUUUCAUGUUUCCAUAGAAUUCCACCAAACGCCAACAAAAUAGGAGUUCAACAUAGGUUGCUCAAGAGACUGAACUGCAGGCAGCUAUUGGAGAUGAGCGCUGGGAUCAAUGCCAGAGAACUGGGAAUGCAUUGAAAUACAUCAGAGUCAGAAAGAUUUUUUAUUUUGCUUUGGGUACAUCUCAGCCCAAAAAGAAAGCCUUUUAUACCCAUUCUUUUCCCAGAUCAGAGGUGGGGAACCUCAGAACUGGGAAGUCUCCCUACUUGACCCUCAGAACUCUCCCCAGGUCACACCCCCUCCCAAGCCACAUCCUCCCCAAGCCACACCCCUCACCAUCCUUGCUUGGCAUCCUCAUGAGUGUUUUUGUCAGGCUAGAAUGUGUCCUUGGACUCUGGGAAUGCCUCUUGCUUGGCUGGAUGGAAGAGAGAGAAGGUGUGUGUGUGUGUGUGUGUGUGUGUGUGUGUGUGUGUGUAGGUUGGGCUGCUAUGCAAAGCCAAGAUUUAGAUGCAUUGCUGCACGCACUGCUGCUCUAGCCAUGCCCACAACUGACACAUGUGAUCUGAGUGGUUACCCAGCAGACAAUAAGCCCUCUGCAAAAGUUGGCAGAAAAAUAAACAUGAAUUUUGCCUUUUUAGUAUGCUAGUUUCUUUACACUCACACACCACUAUCAUCCAUCAAGGUAACAUUUGGCCCCUGGGUCCUGAGGUUCUUCUUAUGUUCUUAAUAGUUUCAGAGUUGCCAAAUGCAGUAUCCUUCAACCACCCAAGGCCUUGAAUAGUAACAUUUUUUAAUUUCCCCUGUAUACACUAAUGAUGAGGGGGGCAGGGACAACUCAACAAACAGGGCAUCGCAUAACCAGGGGGCUAGUUCUGAGAAAACCCUGCCAGGAAGUUUAGGAGCAUUAUUCUCAGUUAAGGAUGAGGGUUGAUUGCCUUUCCACAGCUGGUUACUUCCUACACCCCUUCUCAAAGCUAAGUUUGGGCUUACCGUGUUUUCUGUUCUGCUUGAAAUUGGGGUGUAGGGAGAGGGUGGGAACUUGGUGAGGGAGGGACUGGAUUCCAUUUUGUGCCAGACCUAAAUGCAGAAGGAGGUAGGAAAUGCUGCAUGAAGGCAGUAAUUUCCAUUCCAACCACUGCUCAUUGCAUGUAGCACUGUAUCCAUUCCCAACGCACUUUGAGUUCUGACCAAAAUUGCAUUAUUUGUUUCACUGUUUGCUGUGGCAGAAUUUUGCAUAAUUAAUCACAUUAUCAUUACGUUUUCCCACACCAUUCAUUUCAUGCAAAUGAGAGGUAAGAAGUCAUCACUGACAUGUCGUUUGUUGACCAAAAACAACAACAGCAAAUGCUAAUCAUACUUGCUGAUCGAUUUCUGCUUCAGACAUGAAACGAAUAAGCAAUUAUUGGCAAUUUCUGUUCUCAUUUUCAUUUCUGUCAGAAUUCUCAGCAUCCUUAGUUUGUAGGCAAGGACGCAAGAAGGCAAGGAUUUGACCUUUGUCACAACCAGUGCUUUUUCCAUUCAACUGCAGUCCUGUUUCCACCAAAUGCUAUGUUGUUUGUCAUGCUAUCCACUAUUUGAUUUAAUUUAUGCAAGUUACAUAACUUACACUCAUUUCUAUGCAAAAGAUAUAGCAAAACAAUGUUCUGAAAUGUCAGUAAUUAUAUCUCAUUUGCAGGCUUGGAAAAGAACAAUGGUGUGACCAAUUGUAUUCAAUAACCUGAUUUAUGUCUCUGAUUGCAGGGAACUGCAACAAUUUCCGCUUUCUUUGAAUCACCUGUUCAGGUUUACCCACAACUGACAUUACUGAAUAUGCGGAUGGACAACAGGAAAGCUUAUUGCUGUAAAGAGCUUUUGACAUGGAUGUCAGCUGCAGCUAGGACUUUAAAAGCCAGCCUAGCAAUGGAAAACCUUGAAAAAUCUGCAUUUGUCUGUGUGGUAUAAGAACUUACGGACUUUGGCUAUUGUGGAAAAAAUAAACAUAUACUAUUUGUUUUCAGGGUGAGGGGUGAAGGAUUCUUCUGGUGGG
This 3306-nucleotide long non-coding RNA is filed under the name Podarcis lilfordi (Lilford's wall lizard). Lineage: Eukaryota; Metazoa; Chordata; Lepidosauria; Squamata; Lacertidae. The record is from RNAcentral.